GAUGAACGCUGGCGGCGUGCCUAAUACAUGCAAGUCGAGCGAACGGACGAGAAGCUUGCUUCUCUGAUGUUAGCGGCGGACGGGUGAGUAACACGUGGAUAACCUACCUAUAAGACUGGGAUAACUUCGGGAAACCGGAGCUAAUACCGGAUGAUAUUUUGAACCGCAUGGUUCAAAAGUGAAAGACGGUCUUGCUGUCACUUAUAGAUGGAUCCGCGCUGCAUUAGCUAGUUGGUACGGUAACGGCUUACCAAGGCAACGAUGCAUAGCCGACCUGAGAGGGUGAUCGGCCACACUGGAACUGAGACACGGUCCAGACUCCUACGGGAGGCAGCAGUAGGGAAUCUUCCGCAAUGGGCGAAAGCCUGACGGAGCAACGCCGCGUGAGUGAUGAAGGUCUUCGGAUCGUAAAACUCUGUUAGUAGGGAAGAACAUAUGUGUAAGUAACUGUGCACAUCUUGACGGUACCUAAUCAGAAAGCCACGGCUAACUACGUG
This 497-nucleotide ribosomal RNA is filed under the name uncultured bacterium. RNAcentral's name for it is "partial 16S ribosomal RNA". It matches the Rfam family "Bacterial small subunit ribosomal RNA", at positions 28 to 507 of the family's 1533-position model. The record is from RNAcentral.